CAUCUACGCAUCUGGCCCCACAAAGCCUGGUUUCACCCCCGAACAGACGGUCCUCUGCGCCUUGUCCUGCUCUGACCACGUCCUCCCUCCCCUCUCCGCUGGUGUGUGAAGUGCCCACUGCAUACGGCGGUGAGUGAAACAGACCCGGUGGCUUCCCGCCUGGAUGGAAGGAAGACACCCAACAAACCAAACCAUGCUUGUAGAUUUACAGGACGCUGUGGGAGAGGAAAAGGCAGGAAACGUCAAAGGAGCACUGUUUCGGCUGAGAGCUGAAGACUCCCACCACCUGCUUCAGACAAGAUGUGGCAGCCCUGAUGAGAGCUCCGAUCUCAUUACCACCCUCUUCCCGGAGACCAGGCUCUUGGCGUCAGGACUGUUUCCAGCCACUCUUCAGUUCCACGUGUGCAGGAAUCGUUUGGGAUACACCCAGGAUCCUACCAAUGUCUUUUUUAAGGAGGUACAGGAGAUGGCACCCCGGAGCUCGUCCAUGGGAAGCAGGUGCUCAAGUCACUGAGCCACACCUGCUCCCCCACUCGUGGCGUGACUGGCCCUAAGCACGCGAUGGCUUUAUGCACACUACGCACGAAGUUAAAAAUAAAAAUUUAUGUUUUGAUCUCACAGU
This 622-nucleotide long non-coding RNA is filed under the name Dasypus novemcinctus (nine-banded armadillo). Its description in RNAcentral is "lncRNA (ENSDNOG00000051969.1)". The record is from RNAcentral. Lineage: Eukaryota; Metazoa; Chordata; Mammalia; Cingulata; Dasypodidae.